GACGAACGCUGGCGGCGUGCUUAACACAUGCAAGUCGAACGGAAAGGCCCUGCUUUUGUGGGGUGCUCGAGUGGCGAACGGGUGAGUAACACGUGAGUAACCUGCCCUUGACUUUGGGAUAACUUCAGGAAACUGGGGCUAAUACCGGAUAGGAGCUCCUGCUGCAUGGUGGGGGUUGGAAAGUUUCGGCGGUUGGGGAUGGACUCGCGGCUUAUCAGCUUGUUGGUGGGGUAGUGGCUUACCAAGGCUUUGACGGGUAGCCGGCCUGAGAGGGUGACCGGCCACAUGGGGACUGAGAUACGGCCCAGACGCCUACGGGAGGCAGCAGUGGGAAAUAUUGCACAAUGGGCGGAAGCCUGAUGCAGCAACGCCGCGUGCGGGAUGACGGCCUUCGGGUUGUAAACCGCUUUCGCCUGUGACGAAGCGUGAGUGACGGUAAUGGGUAAAGAAGCACCGGCUAACUACGUG
This 468-nucleotide ribosomal RNA is filed under the name uncultured bacterium. Its description in RNAcentral is "partial 16S ribosomal RNA". It matches the Rfam family "Bacterial small subunit ribosomal RNA", at positions 28 to 507 of the family's 1533-position model. The record is from RNAcentral.